UGUUCUACACAUUGUUUUUAUAACUGAGAUAAUAUAUCUCACAAUUAACUAAUUACAGUUUUAAAAUUA
This is a long non-coding RNA of Maniola jurtina (meadow brown), 69 nucleotides long. RefSeq lists it as uncharacterized. Lineage: Eukaryota; Metazoa; Arthropoda; Insecta; Lepidoptera; Nymphalidae. The transcript is spliced from 3 exons. The record is from RefSeq and is a predicted model, not a curated record.